GACACGAUGGCCGAGUGGUCUAAGGCGCCAGAUUUAAGCUUUUCCUGUUCAAGGAAUGCCGAUCUCUGGUACAGAAAUGUGCGUGGGUUCGAAACCCACUCGUGUCA
Plenodomus tracheiphilus IPT5 is the source of this 107-nucleotide non-coding RNA. NCBI's taxonomy places the organism in Eukaryota, Fungi, Ascomycota, Dothideomycetes, Pleosporales, Leptosphaeriaceae. The record is from the annotation of a GenBank genome assembly.